CUGUAACAUUCUGGACAUUAAAUGAUGAAACUCCCAACAAACCUCUGAGACGAAUCAUCUUCAGAACAUGUAGAAGAAGAAUCUCGACAGCUCGUCUCCACCUGAACGUCCUGAAACCGGUGCGGACUGAAGCGUGUCGGCCUGCAGCCUCAGAGGAGCUCAGAUGUGAGAAAGCAGCUGAGCGGGUUCAUAUGAGCAGCAUAUGAGGCAGCAGAGCCGGUCUCAUGACUCCGGUCCGAGCUAAUCCUCCUGAGAGUCUCGUGACCCGUCCAGCUUCACAGAUCCACUCUGAGAAAUCCCCCAAACUCCAAACACGAUGGCUUCCUCCUCAGGUUUCUUUAGUUAUUGACAGAAAUUUUUUGACAUUUAUCAGCUGAAAAUGAUCCUUUGAUGUCAAAGUGAAGACAGAUCUCGACAUCAUCUGUUUAAUGAGGUGCAGUGAAGUGAAGGAUCUGAUUACUUCUGAUGGACAUGAACUUUCUACUUUAUCUGGUACAAAACAAAUCCCUCCACAGUCCGGUCUGUCAGUGUGUGAUGUGUUGGUGAUGAAGCUACAGAGACUCUGCAGCUCCUCUCGG
Long non-coding RNA from Thunnus maccoyii (southern bluefin tuna), 578 nucleotides. RefSeq lists it as uncharacterized. NCBI's taxonomy places the organism in Eukaryota, Metazoa, Chordata, Actinopteri, Scombriformes, Scombridae. The record is from RefSeq and is a predicted model, not a curated record. The transcript has 3 exons.